AUACGGAGGGGACUAGCGUUGUUCGGAAUUACUGGGCGUAAAGCGUACGUAGGCGGAUCAGAAAGUAUGGUGUGAAAUCCCAGGGCUCAACCCUGGAACUGCCUCAUAAACUCCUGGUCUUGAGUUCGAGAGAGGUGAGUGGAAUUCCGAGUGUAGAGGUGAAAUUCGUAGAUAUUCGGAGGAACACCAGUGGCGAAGGCGGCUCACUGGCUCGAUACUGACGCUGCGGUACGAAAGUGUGGGGAGCAAACAGGAUUAGAAACCCUAGUAGUCC
This 274-nucleotide ribosomal RNA is filed under the name uncultured bacterium. RNAcentral's name for it is "partial 16S ribosomal RNA". It matches the Rfam family "Bacterial small subunit ribosomal RNA", at positions 523 to 796 of the family's 1533-position model. The record is from RNAcentral.